AUUAGACCUCAACAUUCGUCAGGGUCUUAUUGACUUUACCCACUAAUAAGUCAACAUUUGACUGACGCACCCUACUUUUUAGGUUAGAGUAGGCCAGAAAGGUAAACAAAUAGUAUCAAAGUCUAACACAGCACACAUAUCACCAUUCUUUUUUUAGAUCUUCAGCAGAGUGCUGGUAACUCGUAUACGUAAAUUAAAGAUUUUUAUCAUCGGUCAUGAGAUAAAGUUGCAUGUUUACCUGGUUGGUUCGUCAAGAAAGAGGAUGUCUGGAUUGUCCAGCAACUCCAGUCCGAUCGAAAGCCUUUUGCAUUCGCCACCCGACAAGCAGCCGAUUUGCGUACGUCUGCUUUCCGUUAACCCCAGCGUUUU
RNAcentral lists this long non-coding RNA (369 nucleotides) under Daphnia pulicaria. Its description in RNAcentral is "uncharacterized LOC124312584". Lineage: Eukaryota; Metazoa; Arthropoda; Branchiopoda; Diplostraca; Daphniidae. The record is from RNAcentral.